RNAcentral lists this long non-coding RNA (1920 nucleotides) under Homo sapiens (human). RNAcentral's name for it is "HSALNT0085674". The record is from RNAcentral. Lineage: Eukaryota; Metazoa; Chordata; Mammalia; Primates; Hominidae.
GGAUACUCAUUCAGAAAAAUCAAUUGUAGGGGAUCGGUCAGAGUGGUGGGAAAAACUAUAGGGAAAGGAUGCAAACCUUCUGAAUGGUCAGAAGGUUCUGCAGAGCCCCAGGGUAGAAUAGCUGUAGGUGGUUGUUCUACAACCCUGAGGCAGAGGGCAAGGGGUAGGUACAAAACAGUGUGGAGGAAUUUAUCUUAAACAGGCUUGUUUACUUAUCUUGACCCGGAACUGACUUUUGGUCAUCAGCACGCAUGACAUUCCCUGAAAGGGAACAAUAAAGGUUAAUUACCUACAGGUUGUGUUGGCUCCAGGUUUUUGGCACUGUGCCUGCACUGAAUGAAAGCAAGCCGCUCCAGCUUCUCAGGGCUGCUCUCUGGCCACUAGAGCGGGGCAGUCACCUAGCUGCUCUUACGCUGCAUACCUGUGUCUUUGAGUACUCAUUUCAUCCAUCAGCCAAGGUCUGUGGGACAGACCCCGCGGGUGGUGCGCAGUGUGAGGAACUCUGCUGCGGAUCGCGAGGGAAUCCUAGUAAACGAAAGUGAAGUGACUGUGCACUGCCCCGUGAACAACACAUGUUUGAACUGCGAGGGCCCACUCAUAAGUGGAUUUUCUUCUGCCUCUGCCACCUCUAAGACAGCAAGACCAACCCCUCUUCUCCCUCCUCCUCCUCAGCCUACUUAGAAUGAAAAGGAUGAGGAUUAAGACCUUUAUGGUGAUCCAAUUCCACUCAUUGAAUAGUAAAUAUAUUUUCUGUUAUGAUAGUCUUAUGAUAACCUCUUUUAGGUAUUAUUUUUUAAUUUUUUAGACUUGCUCUUGAUCUGCUAGCUUCUGCACUUAUUCCCUUGGCUUUUAUAUCUUGAUGCUCACAUUUAGUUUUUUGCACAUCUCCUGUUUCUUCUAAUUUACCAAUUCUGUGGCCCUUGCUCUGGUUUAUGUUUACUUUGUUUUCUCACUGUACUCAUAGCUUUACCUGAUCUUUGAUUUUGACAUUUUCUUAGAGUCUUGGGUGGGAAUUUCCCUACUUAAAUUCUGGCAUAUCAUAAGGCAGUGGCUAGCCAAAGCCCCAGAUUUCACAAGAAGGUAAUUAAUGUGACAUUUUGCCUCAAAUAAAUGAUUCUGGCUGAUGCAGUUACUCAAUAGGUUGCAGUAAAUGAAGACUUUCCUGCUGUCCAUUCUCACUCCCUGUACCUAGUACAAAAACCCAGAUGCAAAUGCUGUAUUAAUCAUGACUUGGCUCAAAAUUCAGUUGACAGAACUACACUUCCAACCAGCACAGCCUAGAAUCCAAUAUAAAAUUUCAAUAAAGUUUCUCUUCAAAUUCAUUCGUAGGCUUACAUAUAUGCAAUAAAGGGUAGAAGAAUCGAGAAAACUCUUCUGCAAAGGUAGUAAAGAAAUAAAACAGUUUUAUUAUUGAAUACAACCUAAACUAGAAUGUGUGGUUCUCAGAAAAGUAGUUAUUCAUGUGCCACAUAAGGAUGUUUCAGUCAACAAUGAGCCAUAUAUAUGAUGGUGGUCCUGUAAGAUUACAGUGGAGUUAUCCUAUACAGGUGUACUAUUUUUUGUGUUUUAUACCAUAUUUGCCUGUAGAUUUUCUGUUUAGAUGCUCAAAUACUUAUCAUUGUGUUACAAUCACCUACAGAAUUCAGUACAGUAACCUGCUAUACAGGUUUGUAGCCUAGGAGUCAUAAGCUGUACCAUCCAGCCUAGGUGGGUUGUAUGCUAUACAAUAGAGGUUUCUGUUGUAUAUGUGAAAGUACAGUCUAUGAUGUUUGCACAGUGACAAAAUUGCCUAAUGAUGCAUUUAUCAAAAUGUAUCCAUGUUCUUAAGCAAUUCAUGACUGUAUAUUACCUUCUGAUAAUGCUUCAUUUUUCAUGUAUCCUAAGGUUAUUUGCAAACUGAGUUCAUUUAAUAAAUUGCAG